This 242-nucleotide ribosomal RNA is filed under the name uncultured bacterium. RNAcentral's name for it is "partial 16S ribosomal RNA". It matches the Rfam family "Bacterial small subunit ribosomal RNA", at positions 99 to 334 of the family's 1533-position model. The record is from RNAcentral.
CGGACGGGUGAGUAACACGUAGGUAACCUGCCUGUAAGACUGGGAUAACAUGCGGAAACGGAUGCUAAUACCGGAUAAUCAAUUGCGUUGCAUGAUGGAAUUGGGAAAGGCGGAGCAAUCUGCCACUUACAGAUGGACCUGCGGCGCAUUAGCUAGUUGGUGGGGUAACGGCUCACCAAGGCGACGAUGCGUAGCCGACCUGAGAGGGUGAUCGGCCACACUGGGACUGAGACACGGCCCAG